ACCGGAACUAAAUCUAGGUCCACGCUGUGUUGUCGUGUACAGUUCUCUAUGGGCUAGCCUAAUCUGGAAACCUCUGAAAGAGUCAGUAGAACUCCAACCUUCAAAGUUUUGGUUCUGGAAGAUCUUUUAAAGAGUAUACAGUACCUGUUUUGACAACUGAUGGGGUCACCUUGUGGAUUUUUCCUCUUUUGUUUGGAAUUCCAUCCCAAAAUCAAAUCCACUAAUCCAGGCAAGGAAAUUGGGCGAAAUGAGGAACAACCUCAGUGACAGUGAGAGGCAGCCUUACAGCAACAAAGCUAUUGAGCUGAUGGAGAAAUAUGAGGAGGAAGCUGCAGCCGCCGCAGAAAAAGGUAGAGGAGGAAGAAGACGAAGAGGAGGAGGGGGGAGGAAGACAAACACAUGAGAAACUGUGUAUAAUCCUUGUUUCCAUGUGAAUACCAUAGAGUAGGGAAAACACCAUUCAGAAAAGAAAAAUCUGGUGCCUCUCACUUCAGAUGGUGCCUUACUUGCUCUUUAUUAGGAUUAAUGACGCAAAUUUGGAUUUUGAUCAUGAUACUGUAACCUUUUUGGAAGUAAAUAAAGUAAGUAAAUAUGUAAAAGUGCUCUAGGAAAAUACAAUGAUUUUUCUUUCCAUAACUGGUUUACGUUCAGUAGCUAGGGGCACCUGCCAGUGCCCUGAAACUGUAACAAAGUUGUACAUAUUUCAACAUUUUUAAAACAAAAAGGGAAAAAAUGGAAACAGACGCCCUAGUGUUCUCAACUCCCUGCACUUUCCUGUCAGUAUAACAAGGCAUUUAAAAAUGUUUCAAGCAUCGUAUUUUUUAAUUUGUAAGGUGGUAUUUAACUGUAUGGUUAUUGGCUAGAAAAUCCUGGGUUAUAAACUACGUAUCUAUAGUUUGUAAAAACUAGACAAAUUCUUAUAGUUCUUGCUUUGGUGACCCCUGAGAAGGGAAAAGCUUUAGGAAAAAGUCUCAUUGUUUUCCCUCGGAAAGGGCUGUCUCAAAGCGUGCACUGCGAAGGUAGAUCUAAUUUACACUACAGUGAGCGUACAUUUAGCUUAAAAGUUAUCUUUUUGUAUAUAGUGAAAUAGCAUUCUGCGACCAUUCUUAGUUGUGAAAGAAGGGAUUCCCCCAUUCAGGUGGCAUGAGAAAAAAGAAAUUGUAUGGAAUCUUUUCUCUUUCUUUUAGUUUAAAAUGGGGUAGUUCUUAAACAGAAGCUGUAAGUCUCCUUCAUUGUCAGCUUAAAAGUGAGGAGAGGGUACAGAAAAGUUCAAAAACACCUCUGUACUUAAACAAGAAAAUUUGCAAAAAACGUCAUGUUGUGGGCUUUUGGUAUAUUUAGAAUGCUGAAAUGUUUUUGAAGCAAAAAUAAACAGUAUUACAUUAAAACAAAGACAAAGUUAAAACACCUCAAAGUGGUUUUCCUCUUUCCUUUUUUCUGUUUUGGUUUUUAAAUUUUAAACUUGCAGGAAAGGAUUUGUUUGCUACUAAUCUUUUAAAAACUGUUAUUCAAAUCUUACUAAUACAUUGUAAUAAUAAUACAUUGGUAGCAGAAUUUGAAUGGUUGAAUGUAGCAUUACAUGUAUGUGUAAUAAAAUACAUGGAAUAUAUGUCAAGAGCCAAAUAUAAGACCAAUAGUAAUCUUAAAUAAAUUCUUUAUUU
Molecule: non-coding RNA, 1661 nt
Organism: Python bivittatus (Burmese python)
Lineage: Eukaryota; Metazoa; Chordata; Lepidosauria; Squamata; Pythonidae
Source: RefSeq, a predicted model, not a curated record